Molecule: ribosomal RNA, 927 nt
Filed under: Salmonella enterica
Lineage: Bacteria; Pseudomonadati; Pseudomonadota; Gammaproteobacteria; Enterobacterales; Enterobacteriaceae
Description: partial 23S ribosomal RNA
Source: RNAcentral
GUGACUGCGUACCUUUUGUAUAAUGGGUCAGCGACUUAUAUUCUGUAGCAAGGUUAACCGAAUAGGGGAGCCGGAGGGAAACCGAGUCUUAAUUGGGCGUUAAGUUGCAGGGUAUAGACCCGAAACCCGGUGAUCUAGCCAUGGGCAGGUUGAAGGUUGGGUAACACUAACUGGAGGACCGAACCGACUAAUGUUGAAAAAUUAGCGGAUGACCUGUGGCUGGGGGUGAAAGGCCAAUCAAACCGGGAGAUAGCUGGUUCUCCCCGAAAGCUAUUUAGGUAGCGCCUCGUGAAUUCAUCUCCGGGGGUAGAGCACUGUUUCGGCUAGGGGGCCAUCCCGGCUUACCAACCCGAUGCAAACUGCGAAUACCGGAGAAUGUUAUCACGGGAGACACACGGCGGGUGCUAACGUCCGUCGUGAAGAGGGAAACAACCCAGACCGCCAGCUAAGGUCCCAAAGUCAUGGUUAAGUGGGAAACGAUGUGGGAAGGCCCAGACAGCCAGGAUGUUGGCUUAGAAGCAGCCAUCAUUUAAAGAAAGCGUAAUAGCUCACUGGUCGAGUCGGCCUGCGCGGAAGAUGUAACGGGGCUAAACCAUGCACCGAAGCUGCGGCAGCGACGCUGAUGCGUUGUUGGGUAGGGGAGCGUUCUGUAAGCCUGYGAAGGUGGCCUGUGAGGGUUGCUGGAGGUAUCAGAAGUGCGAAUGCUGACAUAAGUAACGAUAAAGCGGGUGAAAAGCCCGCUCGCCGGAAGACCAAGGGUUCCUGUCCAACGUUAAUCGGGGCAGGGUGAGUCGACCCCUAAGGCGAGGCCGAAAGGCGUAGUCGAUGGGAAACGGGUUAAUAUUCCCGUACUUGGUGUUACUGCGAAGGGGGGACGGAGAAGGCUAUGUUGGCCGGGCGACGGUUGUCCCGGUUUAAGCGUGUAGG